GGCGGUUCUUGGGUGACACACCCUGGAAUCGGGCUCCCUCCUCUCUGGUUCCGGGUGUGUCACGCAAGAACCGCA
Non-coding RNA from Myotis lucifugus (little brown bat), 75 nucleotides. The record is from Rfam. NCBI's taxonomy places the organism in Eukaryota, Metazoa, Chordata, Mammalia, Chiroptera, Vespertilionidae.